GCCCAUGUAGCUCAGUCGGUAGAGCACCUUCUUGGUAAGAAGGGGGUCAUCAGUUCGAGUCUGAUCAUGGGCUCAA
RNAcentral lists this transfer RNA (76 nucleotides) under Chloroflexota bacterium. Its description in RNAcentral is "Chloroflexi bacterium (marine metagenome) tRNA-Thr". It matches the Rfam family "tRNA". Rfam says of the family: Transfer RNA (tRNA) molecules are approximately 80 nucleotides in length. Their secondary structure includes four short double-helical elements and three loops (D, anti-codon, and T loops). The record is from RNAcentral. Lineage: Bacteria; Bacillati; Chloroflexota.